Molecule: long non-coding RNA, 250 nt
Filed under: Phoenix dactylifera (date palm)
Lineage: Eukaryota; Viridiplantae; Streptophyta; Magnoliopsida; Arecales; Arecaceae
Description: long non-coding RNA (PDAC_LNC015749)
Source: RNAcentral
ACGACGCGGUGGUAAUUUCUAUGAUUGUAAAUAAGUUUGAUGUAAAACGCGUCUUGUUUGAUAAUGAAAUGUGGAGUGAUUGAUUAUAACCCUAUUUGAUUUUGAUGAGCUCAAAGCAUUUGAGUAUAUCUUAUGGUUACUAAUGAAUUCAACCUAGUGUUUCAGUGAAAAUCUUGUAAAUUUAUGGUUAAGUGUCUCUAGAUUUGGUUCAAGACAUUUUGGAUAAGUUAAGAAGUCAAUCUGAACCAAA